This 537-nucleotide ribosomal RNA is filed under the name Apatizanclea divergens. Its description in RNAcentral is "partial large subunit ribosomal RNA". It matches the Rfam family "Bacterial large subunit ribosomal RNA", at positions 1911 to 2607 of the family's 2925-position model. The record is from RNAcentral. Lineage: Eukaryota; Metazoa; Cnidaria; Hydrozoa; Anthoathecata; Zancleidae.
AAAUAAACUUAAAGGACGCGGUAUCUUGACCGUGAUAAUGUAGCAUAAUCACUCGCCAUUUAAUUGAUGGAUAGUAUGAAUGGUUAAACGAAUAUAACACUGUCUUGAGAAAAAACCUUAUGAAAUUAGAAUAAUAGUAAAGAUACUAUUUUAGAUUAUAAGACGAGAAGACCCUAUAGAGCUUAACUAUAAUUCUUUAAUAAUAAAUAAACUAGUUUAUUUAUUUAGAGAAGUAGGUAGUUUAGUUGGGGCGACUGCUUUCUAGAAAUAACGAAAGCAAGCAAAAUUAAUUAAAUAAUUUACUGUAUAAUUUAUCUAUUUAACAGUUAUAAUAAUAGGCAAUAAUGACCCGUUAAUUAUUCGUAAAUAUAUUAACGAUCAAUAAAUAAAAGCUACCUUAGGGAUAACAGGAUAAUCUUGUUCUAGAGAUCAUAUCGAAAACAAGGUUUGUCACCUCUAUGUUGAAUUAAGAUAUCCAAGAAGUGCAGAAGCUUCUAAGGGUAGGUCUGUUCGACCUAUAAAAUCUUACAUGAUUUG